This 1343-nucleotide ribosomal RNA is filed under the name uncultured bacterium. RNAcentral's name for it is "16S ribosomal RNA". It matches the Rfam family "Bacterial small subunit ribosomal RNA", at positions 28 to 1378 of the family's 1533-position model. The record is from RNAcentral.
GACGAACGCUGGCGGCGUGCUUAACACAUGCAAGUCGAACGGAAAGGCCCUGCUUUUGUGGGGUGCUCGAGUGGCGAACGGGUGAGUAACACGUGAGUAACCUGCCCUUGACUUUGGGAUAACUUCGGGAAACUGGGGCUAAUACCGGAUAGGAGCUCCUGCUGCAUGGUGGGGGUUGGAAAGUUUCGGCGGUUGGGGAUGGACUCGCGGCUUAUCAGCUUGUUGGUGGGGUAGUGGCUCACCAAGGCUUUGACGGGUAGCCGGCCUGAGAGGGUGACCGGCCACAUUGGGACUGAGAUACGGCCCAGACUCCUACGGGAGGCAGCAGUGGGGAAUAUUGCACAAUGGGCGGAAGCCUGAUGCAGCAACGCCGCGUGCGGGAUGACGGCCUUCGGGUUGUAAACCGCUUUCGCCUGUGACGAAGCGUGAGUGACGGUAAUGGGUAAAGAAGCACCGGCUAACUACGUGCCAGCAGCCGCGGUGAUACGUAGGGUGCGAGCGUUGUCCGGAUUUAUUGGGCGUAAAGGGCUCGUAGGUGGUUGAUCGCGUCGGAAGUGUAAUCUUGGGGCUUAACCCUGAGCGUGCUUUCGAUACGGGUUGACUUGAGGAAGGUAGGGGAGAAUGGAAUUCCUGGUGGAGCGGUGGAAUGCGCAGAUAUCAGGAGGAACACCAGUGGCGAAGGCGGUUCUCUGGGCCUUUCCUGACGCUGAGGAGCGAAAGCGUGGGGAGCGAACAGGCUUAGAUACCCUGGUAGUCCACGCUGUAAACGGUGGGUACUAGGUGUGGGGUCCAUUCCACGGGUUCCGUGCCGUAGCUAACGCUUUAAGUACCCCGCCUGGGGAGUACGGCCGCAAGGCUAAAACUCAAAGGAAUUGACGGGGCCCCGCACAAGCGGCGGAGCAUGCGGAUUAAUUCGAUGCAACGCGUAGAACCUUACCUGGGUUUGACAUGGAUCGGGAGCGCUCAGAGAUGGGUGUGCCUCUUUUGGGGUCGGUUCACAGGUGGUGCAUGGCUGUCGUCAGCUCGUGUCGUGAGAUGUUGGGUUAAGUCCCGCAACGAGCGCAACCCUUGUUCACUGUUGCCAGCACGUUAUGGUGGGGACUCAGUGGAGACCGCCGGGGUCAACUCGGAGGAAGGUGGGGAUGACGUCAAGUCAUCAUGCCCCUUAUGUCCAGGGCUUCACGCAUGCUACAAUGGCUGGUACAGAGAGUGGCGAGCCUGUGAGGGUGAGCGAAUCUCGGAAAGCCGGUCUCAGUUCGGAUUGGGGUCUGCAACUCGACCUCAUGAAGUCGGAGUCGCUAGUAAUCGCAGAUCAGCAACGCUGCGGUGAAUACGUUCCCGGG